This 72-nucleotide transfer RNA is filed under the name Ictidomys tridecemlineatus (thirteen-lined ground squirrel). Its description in RNAcentral is "Spermophilus tridecemlineatus (thirteen-lined ground squirrel) tRNA". It matches the Rfam family "tRNA". Rfam says of the family: Transfer RNA (tRNA) molecules are approximately 80 nucleotides in length. Their secondary structure includes four short double-helical elements and three loops (D, anti-codon, and T loops). Further hydrogen bonds mediate the characteristic L-shaped molecular structure. tRNAs have two regions of fundamental functional importance: the anti-codon, which is responsible for specific mRNA codon recognition, and the 3' end, to which the tRNAs corresponding amino acid is attached (by aminoacyl-tRNA synthetases). tRNAs cope with the degeneracy of the genetic code in two manners: having more than one tRNA (with a specific anti-codon) for a particular amino acid; and 'wobble' base-pairing, i.e. permitting non-standard base-pairing at the 3rd anti-codon position. The record is from Rfam by way of RNAcentral. Lineage: Eukaryota; Metazoa; Chordata; Mammalia; Rodentia; Sciuridae.
GGUGUUGUAGCUCAGUGGAGGAGCACUUGCCUGGUAUGUUUGGGGCACUGGGUUCAAUUCUCAGCACCACAU